UACAGAGGUCCCAAGCGUUGUUCGGAUUCACUGGGCGUAAAGGGUGCGUAGGUGGUCAGGUAAGUCAGUGGUGAAAUCUCCGAGCUUAACUCGGAAACUGCCGUUGAUACUAUUUGUCUUGAAUAUUGUGGAGGUAAGCGGAAUAUGUCAUGUAGCGGUGAAAUGCUUAGAUAUGACAUAGAACACCAAUUGCGAAGGCAGCUUACUACACAACGAUUGACGCUGAGGCACGAAAGCGUGGGGAUCAAACAGG
RNAcentral lists this ribosomal RNA (253 nucleotides) under uncultured bacterium. RNAcentral's name for it is "partial 16S ribosomal RNA". It matches the Rfam family "Bacterial small subunit ribosomal RNA", at positions 524 to 776 of the family's 1533-position model. The record is from RNAcentral.